This 373-nucleotide ribosomal RNA is filed under the name uncultured bacterium. RNAcentral describes it as "bacterial SSU rRNA". It matches the Rfam family "Bacterial small subunit ribosomal RNA", at positions 355 to 719 of the family's 1533-position model. The record is from RNAcentral.
UCGAGGAUCAUUUGCAAUGGGGGAAACCCUGACAAUGCGACGCUGCGUGCAGGAUGAAGGUCUUCGGAUUGUAAACUGCUGUCAUGAGGGAAAAGGACAGGGAGGCCAACAACCUCUCUCGUUUGAUUGUACUUCAAGAGGAAGUCGCGGCUAACUCUGUGCCAGCAGCCGCGGUAAUACAGAGGCGACGAGCGUUGUUCGGAUUUACUGGGCGUAAAGCGUGCGCAGGCGGUUGAUCAUGUCGGAUGUGAAAUCCCGGGGCUCACCCCCGGAAGUGCAUCUGAAACCGGUUGACUAGAGACUGGGAAGGGAGUUUGGAACACAUGGAGGAGCGGUGAAAUGCGUUGAUAUCAUGUGGAACACCGGUAGCGAA